AAUUAUGUAGUUUAUUAAGAAUAUUAAAUUGCAAAUUUAAAGGAAAAAGUAAUUUUCAUAAUUU
This 64-nucleotide transfer RNA is filed under the name Sternochetus gravis. RNAcentral describes it as "tRNA-Cys". The record is from RNAcentral. Lineage: Eukaryota; Metazoa; Arthropoda; Insecta; Coleoptera; Curculionidae.